RNAcentral lists this ribosomal RNA (244 nucleotides) under uncultured bacterium. RNAcentral describes it as "partial 16S ribosomal RNA". It matches the Rfam family "Bacterial small subunit ribosomal RNA", at positions 113 to 353 of the family's 1533-position model. The record is from RNAcentral.
ACACGUAAGCAACCUGCCUAUCAGAGGGGAACAACAGUUAGAAAUGACUGCUAAUACCGCAUAUGCCUUAAUUACCACAUGGUAGUAGAGGGAAAGGAGCAAUCUGCUGAUAGAUGGGCUUGCGUCUGAUUAGAUAGUUGGUAAGGUAACGGCUUACCAAGUCGACGAUCAGUAGCCGGACUGAGAGGUUGAACGGCCACAUUGGGACUGAGAUACGGCCCAGACUCCUACGGGAGGCAGCAUG